ACCUGAAAAUGACACUCAAGCCUUUGCGCCUACGUUUUUAAGAAAUAUGGUGCUCUGGCCGUGGCGAAACGCCACCAGGGUGCAGGAAGAAAUGACUGCAUCUCCCGAUUUGGAAAGGUGUACAUGGCUUCUCAAC
This is a regulatory RNA element of Cronobacter sakazakii ATCC BAA-894, 136 nucleotides long. It matches the Rfam family "Molybdenum/Tungsten riboswitch aptamer (Moco RNA motif)". The record is from Rfam. NCBI's taxonomy places the organism in Bacteria, Pseudomonadati, Pseudomonadota, Gammaproteobacteria, Enterobacterales, Enterobacteriaceae.